CCUAUUCCUCCCGAACAAAAUGAUAUAGAAGUGUACUUCAUAUGAAAGACUAAAUUAAGGUUGAACAGACAUAUAGCUCAAAUUACAUGUUUUAUUUUAGUUAAAAACUUGGACAAUUGCCUCUGUCCUUAAAGGAUAGAAAUAUUACCACUGGCAUUGUAAAGGGUUAAAUAAUUCCAGCACCGUUGUCCCUCGACGCUUGGCAGCACUCUGUCUCCUCUGAUGUCAGACAAUGGACGGGGACCUAAUAUGCAGGCACAGUUAGCACCGGGCGCGCCUUAGGUCUUCCGUGUAGGAAAGCAUUGACUGUUUGUCCUCAUGGAGAGUGAUGAUGUCCAGUGUCGUUUCAAGGAAACUAAAGGAAACACCUUUAUUGGUUGUCUUGUAGGCUGCAACUAGAGGCAGUCUUAGUAUUGCAAUGUAAACAUUGCAGUUUCCCUAAAAACAGCAAUGUUUUAUUUGCAGGACUAAGGGUGGCAGGGACUCCUUCAAUGAGAUUAGGUGGUGCUUAUAGUGCCCCUUUAAGGGGUUAAUAGGCCAUGCACCUCUCUAGCUGGACUUUUUACACAAAGGCAUGAUGUGUUAUUAAGAUCCUAUUUAUUUUUUCCCCUCAUUUGGGUAACGCACACUCACUAAUCAGAACACUAUCUUUUGUUUUUUUAUAAUUCUUUAUUUUUGUCGUGCAGUGGUGAUACAUCAGUAAAGAAAGACAUUGGUUACACAAAUAAACAAAAAGGUAAGCCUUGCAGAUGUCUAACUAAGGUGCACUUUUUUUUUUUUUUUAAAUAGAAGUAUAUAACAAGAUAAUGCAGGGUAGGUAUUUAUGUCUGGAUAACAAGCAUAAGCAGAGCUAAAAGAGCUAAACAUAAAAUUACCCCGACACGACAAGAGGUGACAAUAUAAUACUGCUGUACUGUCAAGAUUAAGAAAGUUAGGAAUUGGAGAGAAAAUUCUGACUGUACUAACGGAUAUGCAGCUUAAGAAAAGUACCACUGGGUUUAGAAGUGAGGCAUUAGCAGCAAAUGCUUUACAUCCUGCAAGUUGCAAAGUGGGGCCUCCAUGGAUCGGAUUUGCUUUUCCAGAACAUCCUACAGAUUAAGAUCUGGUAAAUUUGGAGGCAACAGCUUGAACUCUUUGUCAUGUUCCUCAAACCAUUCAUGAACAAUGUUUGCAGUGUGGCAGGGUGCAUUAUCCUGCUGAAAGAGACCAUGCUAUCAUGGAACACCAUAGCCAUGAAGGGGCAACAAUCUCUAGGUAGGUGGUACAUAUCAAAGUAACAUCCACACAAAUGCCAGAAUCCAAGGUUGAUCCAAGGUUUCUCAACAUAACAUUGCUCAAAGCACACCUCCUCUGCCGCCUUGCCUUCUUCCCAUAGUGCAUCAUGCUGCCAUCUG
Pelobates cultripes (western spadefoot toad) is the source of this 1394-nucleotide non-coding RNA. The record is from the annotation of a GenBank genome assembly. Lineage: Eukaryota; Metazoa; Chordata; Amphibia; Anura; Pelobatidae.